This 465-nucleotide ribosomal RNA is filed under the name uncultured bacterium. RNAcentral's name for it is "bacterial SSU rRNA". It matches the Rfam family "Bacterial small subunit ribosomal RNA", at positions 338 to 795 of the family's 1533-position model. The record is from RNAcentral.
CCUACGGGUGGCAGCAGUGAGGAAUAUUGCGCAAUGGGCGAAAGCCUGACGCAGCGACGCCGCGUGGAGGAUGAAGGUUUUCGGAUUGUAAACUCCUGUUAAGUGGGAAGAAACGACAAAAUAUAAUACAUUUUGUAACUGACGGUACCAUUAAAGAAAGCACCGGCUAACUUCGUGCCAGCAGCCGCGGUAAUACGAGGGGUGCAAGCGUUAUUCGGAAUUAUUGGGCGUAAAGGGUGCGUAGGCGGCGUAUUAAGUCAACUGUUAAAACCUCCAGCCUAACUGGAGAUCAGCAGUAGAUACUGGUAUGCUAGAGGAUGGAAGAGAGAAGUGGAAUUCUUGGAGUAGCGGUGGAAUGCGUAGAUCUCAAGAGGAACACCAAUGGCGAAGGCAGCUUCUUGGUCCAUAUCUGACGCUGAUGCACGAAAGCGUGGGGAGCAAACAGGAUUAGAUACCCCAGUAGUC